Molecule: non-coding RNA, 385 nt
Organism: Ciona intestinalis (vase tunicate)
Lineage: Eukaryota; Metazoa; Chordata; Ascidiacea; Phlebobranchia; Cionidae
Source: RefSeq, a predicted model, not a curated record
ACAGUUUUUUGAAUUUCAGACAAAAUCCGGUUCAUCUGGUUCUACUGUCUCUAAACCUCGUGGCCGUCCAAGUAAAAGUUCGCAAUCAAAAGCUGAUGCUACAAACAUACUCACGGGAGACUCACGAGGUUCAGUUCAUUACAUGAUCAACCCUGACGUGAUACAAAAGAUGCAACCCAAAGCUCACCGGAGCAAUGAAAACCUCAUUCCAAACCAAGCUAUUGACGUCGUUACGAAAGACCCAGCGUUUGAUUUGCGACAAGCAGAGUGUCAUCUACCAAAAGAUAAACUCGCAAUUCGAGCAGCAAUCCUUCAGGAUGUUGUGGAAAUGGAAUCUUUGUUAAAAGAAGCAACUAACCUGCCACAAGUAACUACUUUAUUUUAU